GACGAACGCUGGCGGCGUGCUUAACACAUGCAAGUCGAACGGAAAGGCCCUGCUUUUGUGGGGUGCUCGAGUGGCGAACGGGUGAGUAACACGUGAGUAACCUGCCCUUGACUUUGGGAUAACUUCAGGAAACUGGGGCUAAUACCGGAUAGGAGCUCCUGCUGCAUGUUGGGGGUUGGUAAGUUUCGGCGGUUGGGGAUGGACUCGCGGCUUAUCAGCUUGUUGGUGGGGUAGUGGCUUACCAAGGCUUUGACGGGUAGCCGGCCUGAGAGGUUGACCGGCCACAUUGGGACUGAGAGACGGCCCAGACUCCUACGGGAGGCAGCAGUGGGGAAUAUUGCACAAUGGGCGGAAGCCUGAUGCAGCAACGCCGCGUGCGGGACGACGGCCUUCGGGUUGUAAACCGCUUUCGCCUGUGACGAAGCGUGAGUGACGGUAAUGGGUAAAGAAGCACCGGCUAACUACGUG
This 468-nucleotide ribosomal RNA is filed under the name uncultured bacterium. Its description in RNAcentral is "partial 16S ribosomal RNA". It matches the Rfam family "Bacterial small subunit ribosomal RNA", at positions 28 to 507 of the family's 1533-position model. The record is from RNAcentral.